GCUCCCUUCGCCGCGCCUCGCGUGCUAGCGGUGCCCUUGUGAGCCACUGCGUUCUCCAAGGCCAGAACGGGACAGUUGACGAUGGUCGUACUUCUCCAUGUUCUGAGACCAGUUUAAACAAAAACAAAAACCAGACAACAACCUUGCAAGGGAAAGAAUUCAGAGUAAAUAAACAGUCUUUUUCUGGGAAGUAAAAUAUUUCCCUAAGGUAAGUUACUUUUCCAAGGGAAUUACAGCAUAUCCCAAUGUGGACUAACAGGCGUUUUCUUCUGGUCUGAUUAACAUUUAGGAAAAAAUAGAUUCCUGAAAAUAGCCUAUUGUGUAAUUAUGUGUCUGAUUGGAACAGCAAAAUGUCUUUGUUAAACAUCUUUUUAAAAACCAAUUUUACCAUUUCCUUCCAAACAUUUGUUAAUUUAAUUGUGUUAACCCUUGCAUCCACAUUAUUGGUCAUGUGGCUGGAUUGAUUAAGAACAGACAGGGAUAUAGAUUUCCACCUACAGAAACUCUUUUCAAGGGGUUAAUCAGCUGGUAACUUGAGUUACAAAUAUAUUGGGGAAAAUGGUACUUUUGGUAAGAUUUCUCACAGUGUAUUCUUCAGCUAUUUUUGAAAAUUAUACCCACAAGUUACAUCACAUCUGUAAUAAACUCUGCACUUCAAGCUGCAGAACCUUCCAAGAUAUUCUGUGGAGUUUGUUGUAUUUUCCCCAUUUCUAUAUUUAAAACAAAUUUCCUACCCAUCCACCCCCUCCUUGAAUUCAGGGAAACACAAAUAACUCAUAAGCUUUGCACUGAAAUGAGUUUGUUUUGCUUUCAUGCCUAGUAUUGCUUUUGAAAUUGUUCAGCAGUAAAGAAAAGAAAAAGCUGCUGGUAUUAGCUUUAAACAACCGCCACAAACAUAUUGUCUUCCUAUUUAUUCUAGGUUUUCUUUCAGCCAAAAUCAGACUUGCAGAGUUAUUCUAGAGCAGUUGGAUGACAUACAAAAUCACAACCACCAAAAUAUACACUAUAUCUUUAUAAUGGGUUUUAUGUACUCACAGAUACACACACACACUAUGUAUAUAUUAAACAAAAAUAUGAAAUUGACUCAUUACAAAAGUAACCAUCCGGGUAUGUGAAAACUAAGAAUUGUGACUUUGAUAUUAAGAUAUGUCCAUUUUGCAGAUGGAGAAAUUGAGAUGAGAGCUCAUCCACAAGAUUACCCAUCAAUGAGCACCAAUAGCAACCAAAUCCACUAGAAGACUGGGAGCUUUUAAGUCAAGAAACUUACAUCAGUAUCAUCAUUCCAAGAAGCGGUAUCCAAGCUGUUUUAUCGAAAGUGCGCAUGGGAGGCAGAUUUUGACUCCAAAAGUCCAGGAUGGGGCCUGAGGUUCUGCAUGUCUAACAAUUUCCCAGCUGAUGCCAAAGCUGCUGAUCAGAGUCUACACCUUAAGAAAUAAGACUCUGAGAAUUUAUAGAAACAAACAUUAGAAGGCAGGAAUGUGGAGAGAAGAAAGCUACCUGACAAGGGAAUCUCAGGAUACAAGGAAAACACCAAGAAGACACCUGCCUGAGGGUCUUAUAGCUAAUGGACUGCAGAAGACUUGAGUCAUCAUUCAAAUUCAGUAGCCAUCCUCUGAUGUCCAGUUGAAGAUUGGUGAUUCCAGAAUAGCUCGCAUUGCCCCAGUUGACUUGCCACACAGCUUCUUUCAGGACUUGAAAAUGUCCUAGCCACCCCCAUCUUACCUCCUACUUCCAAUGCCUUUUAAGAUAGAAAACAAAAAACAAAACAACAAAAAAACACCAGCCACCCUUGUGGGUUAGAUAAUCCUACAUCAAGGUGAAUUCUUGAUAACCAGUUCUGUUCUUCCUUAUGUCUUGUAAACAUGCUAAUUAGAAGGAGCUUGUGUUUGAAGAUCAAGGGAGGAAGAAUUCUGAAGCCAGGGCUAGCCUUAGGGGACAUAACUCCUUCCAGUCACUUCCUGAAUUUUUUGGUACCUGGCUUUUGAGAGUCCUCCAAAGUGAGAAUUUCAUGACAUGUAACCUCUCAACACCUGCAUUUUAAAAAAUUGUCCAAAAUACCGCAGAUACCACAGAAAAGUCCAAAACUUAAGUUUUUCCCUCCACUCAGAGCAUCUUAGCAACAUACUAACCAUAAGACUCUAAGCGCUCUUACCCUCAAUGCAAUUCUCACUGAAUAUCCUGUCAGGAGAACUCUACCUCUCUUCCAUGUUAUUAAGGUUAUUGUUCUUUGCAAGGUGUACACAACACAAAUAUAUUUCUUGGUGAAUGAACUCACUCUCAAAGACUGCUGUCCUUGGGGAUAUAGCCAACAUGCCAUAUCCACAACAUAGGUCUUCUUUACAGUCCUGUUGAAACAUGUAAGAUCAGCUACUAAGUCCCUGCAUCUCAGACAGGAACUUAAUAGAGUACAUUUAAAAAAAAAAUUCAGAAGUAAUUAAAACAAAUUGCAUACAAGCCACCUGUUUAGAAAGUUCAUAAAUUUUAUGCAAUUAUUUAUCUCUUUAUUUUUUCUGAAAUCAAGAGCAGAAUGUAUCCAAGUGAAACUAAAAGAGCGAGGUCAAGGGGAAACAACACAGGGCUUGUGGAGUCAUAAAUAUGUAUUAAAGCAGCAGAGUUAAUUUUGUCCCAAGUUCCAUAUUGGCCAGGAAAAAAGAAACAAGAUCAGCAGAGUUAACAGCUCUCAACCUGAAUAUGCCUCAGAAUUUCUAGGAGGACUUAAGUAAUGAGAUUCCUGGGUUUCUACAUGGACCAACUCAAUCAAACUCUUCAGGAGACAGCUGCUGUUGUUAGACUGUGUCUCCCAAAAUUCUUGUGUUGGAAACUUAGUUCCCAAUGUAAUGAUACUGGCAGGUGUGGCCUAGUGGGGGGUGUUUAGAUCAUGAGGGCUUCAGCCUCAUGAAUGGAUUAAUGUUGAUAUCUCAGGAGUGAGUUUCCUCUUGCUCUCUGUAGCCCUCUCUCUUGCCACAUGAUGACUUCCACCAGGUUAUGACUCAACAGGAAGGCCCUCACAAGAUGUGGAACCUCAAUCUUAGACUUCUCAGCCUCCAGAAGUG
Molecule: long non-coding RNA, 3053 nt
Organism: Homo sapiens (human)
Lineage: Eukaryota; Metazoa; Chordata; Mammalia; Primates; Hominidae
Gene: LETR1
Product: lymphatic endothelial transcriptional regulator lncRNA 1
Source: Ensembl